GAUUAAGAACGUAGCGAAAUGCGAUAAGUAAUGUGAAUUGCAGAAUUCAGUGAAUCAUCGAAUCUUUGAACGCACAUUGCGCCCGCCAGUAUUCUGGCGGGCAUGCCUGUUCGAGCGUCAUUUCAACCAUCAAGCCCCCGGCUUGUGUUGGGGACCUGCGGCUGCCGCAGGCCCUGAAAAGCAGUGGCGGGCUCGCUGUCACACCGAGCGUAGUAGCAUACAUCUCGCUCUGGGCGUGCUGCGGGUUCCGGCCGUUAAACCACCUUCAUAACCCAAGGUUGACCUCGGAUCAGGUAGGAAGACCCGCUGAACUUAAGCAUAUCAAUAAGCGGAGGA
This 336-nucleotide unclassified non-coding RNA is filed under the name soil metagenome. RNAcentral's name for it is "partial contains 5.8S ribosomal RNA, internal transcribed spacer 2, and large subunit ribosomal RNA". The stretch from base 1 to 120 matches the Rfam family "5.8S ribosomal RNA", at positions 35 to 154 of the family's 154-position model. The record is from RNAcentral.